Molecule: ribosomal RNA, 1557 nt
Filed under: Colwellia sp. BSi20007
Lineage: Bacteria; Pseudomonadati; Pseudomonadota; Gammaproteobacteria; Alteromonadales; Colwelliaceae
Description: 16S ribosomal RNA
Rfam family: Bacterial small subunit ribosomal RNA
Source: RNAcentral
AGAGUUUGAUCCUGGCUCAGAAUCUGAACGAUGGAGGCAGGCUUAACACAUGCAAGUCGAGCGGUAACAGAGAUAGCUUGCUAUCUGCUGGCGAGCGGCGGGACCGAGGUGAGUAAUGCUUAGGAAUAUGCCAUAUGGUGGGGGACAACAGUUGGAAACGCACUGCUAAUACCGCAUAUACCGUCUACGGGCCAAAGCGGGGGAUUCGUUCGGGAACCUCUUGCGCAUCUUGAUUAGCGCCAAGUAGAGAUUAGCGUGAGUUGGUGAGGUAAUGGCUCGACUCAAGGCAGACGAUCUCUAGCUGGUUUGAGAGGAUGCKCAGSCACACUCGGACUGAGACAGGGCCCAGACUGCCACGGGAGGCAGCAGUGCGGGAAUAUUGGACAAUGGGCGAAAGCUGAGUCGCAGCCAUGCCGCGUGUGUGAAGAGAGGCCUUCGGGUUGUACAGAGCACUGUCAGUUGUGGGGAAAGGGGAGUAGUUAAUAGCUGCUCACUAUGACGUUACGAACAGAAGGAGCACCGGCUAACUCCGUGCCAGCAGCCGGGGCCAAUACGGCGCGGGGCGGGCGUUAAUCGGAAUUACUGGGCGUAAAGCGUGCGUGAGGCGGUUUGUSGGGCAAGAUGUGAAAGCCCAGGGCUCAACCUUGGAACUGCAUUUUGAACUGGCAAACUAGAGUACUGUAGAGGGUGGUGGAAUUUCCAGUGUAGCGGUGAAAUGCGUAGAGAUUGGAAGGAACAUCAGUGGCGAAGGCGGCCACCUGGACAGAUACUGACGCUGAGGCACGAAAGCGUGGGGAGCAAACAGGAUUAGAUACCCUGGUAGUCCACGCCGUAAACGAUGUCAACUAGCUGUCUGUGGACUUGAUCCGUGGGUAGCGGCACUAACGCAUUGAAGUUGACCGCCUCGGGCAGUACGGCGCGCAGAGGUUAAAAACUCAAAUGAAUUGUACGCGGGCCCCCGCACAACCGGGSSAGCGAUGUGGUUUAAUCUGCGCAUGCAACGCGAAGACCCUUACCACUCCCUGUGACGAUCGCACAGAAGAGAGCUACGCAGAGCAGACGUUGUGCUUCCGGCGAACUGUGAGACAGGUGCUGCAUGGCUGUCGUCAGCUCGUGUUGUGAAAUGUUGGGUUAAGUCGCCGCACGCGAGCGCAACCCCGUAGUCCUUAUCUGCCAGCGCGUGUAUGCCGGGAACUCUAAGGAGACUGCCGCGUGAUAAACCGGAGGAAGGUGGGGACGACGUCAAGUCAUCAUGGCCUUACGGGAUGGGCUACACGCGUGCUACAAUGGCGAGUACAGAGGGCAGCAAUACCCCGAGGUGGAGCGAAUCCCACAAAGCUUGUCGUAGUCCGGAUUGGAGUCUGCAACUCGACUCCAUGAAGUCGGAAUCGCUAGUAAUCGUAGAUCAGAAUGCUACGGUGAAUACGUUCCCGGGCCUUGUACACACCGCCCGUCACACCAUGGGAGUGGGAUGGAAAAGAAGUGGCUAGUUUAACUUCGGGAGGACGGUCACCACUUUGUGUUUCAUGACUGGGGUGAAGUCCUAACAAGGUAACC